Molecule: ribosomal RNA, 254 nt
Filed under: uncultured bacterium
Lineage: Bacteria
Description: partial 16S ribosomal RNA
Rfam family: Bacterial small subunit ribosomal RNA
Source: RNAcentral
UACGUAGGGGGCAAGCGUUGUCCGGAAUCAUUGGGCGUAAAGCGCGCGUAGGCGGCCCGGUAAGUCCGCUGUGAAAGUCGGGGGCUCAACCCUCGGAUGCCGGUGGAUACUGUCGGGCUAGAGUACGGAAGAGGCGAGUGGAAUUCCUGGUGUAGCGGUGAAAUGCGCAGAUAUCAAGGAGGAACACCGAUGGCGAAGGCAGCCCCCUGGGCUAGCACUGACGCUCAGGCACGAAAGCGUGGGGAGCAAACAGG